RNAcentral lists this ribosomal RNA (334 nucleotides) under uncultured eukaryote. RNAcentral describes it as "partial 18S ribosomal RNA". It matches the Rfam family "Eukaryotic small subunit ribosomal RNA", at positions 1470 to 1796 of the family's 1831-position model. The record is from RNAcentral.
CCCUUAGAUGUUCUGGGCCGCACGCGCGCUACACUGAAGGAAUCAGCGUGGCUUUCUCCCUGACCCGAAAGGGUUGGGAAACCCGUUGAAUCUCCUUCGUGAUAGGGAUUGGGGCUUGAAAUUGUUCCCCAUGAACGAGGAAUUCCCAGUAAGCGCGAGUCAUAAGCUCGCGUUGAUUACGUCCCUGCCCUUUGUACACACCGCCCGUCGCUACUACCGAUUGAACGGUUUAGUGUGGGCCUCGGAUUGGUCUCGGCCCGCUCUUUACCGGGCGGCGCCGUUGGUCGAGAAGACGCUCGAACUUGAUCGUUUAGAGGAAGUAAAAGUCGUAACA